GGGGGUAUUCAGUUAGCUCUUGAAGGGUAAAGAGCCUAAUAAUGUAACAUACAACGUUAUGAUUGAUGGACUAUGCAAGGAGGGGUUGAUGGAUGAUGCUUUAAAGAUCUUAGAAAUGAUGAAAGGGAAAGGGCUAUAGUUCAAAAGGUGAAACAGAAGAAAUUGUUAAUUUGCUUCAUCAGAUGGCAGACAAGGGUGUUAUUCUUGACAAAGAAAUAACUUCUACGAUCUUGGCAUGCCUCUGUCAAAUCUCUGACGAUGUUGAUGUGAUGGAGGUUCUCCCAACUUUUUCCAAAAACACAUCAAAAGGAAUAAGCAUUACCUGGAAUGAGCUACUGAUGAAAGUCAAUAAAUCUUAAGCGGAACUUAUGUUACGUGCUGCUUGAGAUUCUUUCUCCUGAAGAGGCCUCCCAGUACCACAAAAGCGUGUUGCUUUCUAUGUGCUAUGCUACUUAACAGGCCCUUGUGGAGCAAUGGAUUGAUUUUGCAAUGUUAGAGAUUGAUGCCAAUAUUUUGCGUUGGUUCAUACCGCGUAUCGGUUUACAGUCUACCUUCCUCCGGCUGAGGAAGCGGCAAUUUCUUCCUUGAAGAGAGCACUAACUGCUUUGAACACUUAUCUUGCUUCCAACAUGUACUUAGUUGGGCACUCUGUGACGUUGGCUGAUAUCAUUAUGAUAUGUAGUUUAACACUGGGUUAACCCGUUGUUGACAAAAAAAUUUACCUCUGAAUUUCCUCAUGUUGAGAGAUACUUUUGGACAUUGGUUAAUCAGCCUAAUUUU
Molecule: long non-coding RNA, 780 nt
Filed under: Rosa chinensis
Lineage: Eukaryota; Viridiplantae; Streptophyta; Magnoliopsida; Rosales; Rosaceae
Description: sRNA RchiOBHm_Chr7g0231541
Source: RNAcentral